UACGGGGGGGGCAAGCGUUGUUCGGAAUUACUGGGCGUAAAGGGCGAGUAGGUGGCCAUCUAAGUCAGACGUGAAAUCCCCCGGCUUAACCUGGGAACUGCGUCUGAUACUGGACGGCUAGAGUAUGGGAGAGGAACGUAGAAUUCCAGGUGUAGCGGUGAAAUGCGUAGAUAUCUGGAGGAAUACCGGUGGCGAAGGCGGCGUUCUGGACCAUUACUGACACUGAAUCGCGAAAGCUAGGGGAGCAAACGGG
This 253-nucleotide ribosomal RNA is filed under the name uncultured bacterium. Its description in RNAcentral is "partial 16S ribosomal RNA". It matches the Rfam family "Bacterial small subunit ribosomal RNA", at positions 524 to 776 of the family's 1533-position model. The record is from RNAcentral.